CCCUUAGAUGUUCUGGGCCGCACGCGCGCUACACUGACAGAGCCAGCGAGUUCUUUUUCCUUGGCUGAAAAGUCAUGGGUAAUCUUGUGAAACUCUGUCGUGCUGGGGAUAGAGCAUUGCAAUUAUUGCUCUUCAACGAGGAAUUCCUAGUAAGCGUAAGUCACCAGCUUGCGUUGAUUACGUCCCUGCCCUUUGUACACACCGCCCGUCGCUACUACCGAUUGGAUGAUCCGGUGAGCUAUUCGGACCUUCGCUUCGUCGAUUUUCGGCUUUGUGAGGGAAAGUCUCGCGAACCUUAUCAUCUAGAGGAAGGAGAAGUCGUAACA
RNAcentral lists this ribosomal RNA (326 nucleotides) under uncultured eukaryote. RNAcentral's name for it is "partial 18S ribosomal RNA". It matches the Rfam family "Eukaryotic small subunit ribosomal RNA", at positions 1470 to 1796 of the family's 1831-position model. The record is from RNAcentral.